ACAUAGCAGCGCCAUUACAUACAUAUGAACUCACAGAAAUGGAGGAAGAGUCCAUAAAGCCUUCCUGGGUCUGCAUCAGAUGGGGUCCAAGAGCUCAAAGGAGAUCUGAAAGCUAUCUCCACCUGAGAGUCACUUAAGUUUUUCAGGAGGCGGGUCCUGGAAAAGAGUCCAAUGUAUAAGUAACUGGCCCUGAUGGAAAAAGUCACUGUUUACUUCAACCACAAGUGGUCAGCCCUAAACACAUUCAACUGAGCAACAAGGAGUGGACUCAACAGGCUCCCUCUCCUCCCACCUCCUUCUCCUGUGCAUGAUAGUAAUUGCAGAGAAGGUCAUGAAUCGAAGAGGGAGUGGCAGAGACAUGGAAGAAUUGGAGAAGUGAGAGGAGAGGAAAGGAGAGGAGAGGAGAGGAGAGGAGAGGAGAGGUUAUAAAUAUAGCACUCAUGUAUGAAAGCCUCAAAAGCAAAAGAGAUGAAAAAGAAAGGUGCAUUUUUAACAACAACAACAACAAAAAGCCCCUUCAAAUGUGAAGUAAUGGGAUUCUCUCUCUCUGCUGUGGAGUUUGCGGCUCUCUGCUGGUUCAUAGCCCUGUGACCAGGUUUUAGAAACGGGGGCAACCUAAGGACGUUCUGGAAGCAGUUUUGAGGCGCGGCUGUCCUGAGACGGAACCUUCCUGGUUGAUUCCAUCCUCGCCAGAGACUUGCUGCCACCGCACAGCCCAGCAACAGGAAACCACCACGACAUCUGCUGAUGUCUCUAGCAAGCAGCCCAUUUGUCUGCGUACUCAAAACAAUGUUGAUGAUGUGA
RNAcentral lists this long non-coding RNA (804 nucleotides) under Mus musculus (house mouse). RNAcentral describes it as "predicted gene, 49860". Lineage: Eukaryota; Metazoa; Chordata; Mammalia; Rodentia; Muridae. The record is from RNAcentral.